This 497-nucleotide ribosomal RNA is filed under the name uncultured bacterium. RNAcentral describes it as "partial 16S ribosomal RNA". It matches the Rfam family "Bacterial small subunit ribosomal RNA", at positions 28 to 507 of the family's 1533-position model. The record is from RNAcentral.
GAUGAACGCUGGCGGCGUGCCUAAUACAUGCAAGUCGAGCGAACGGACGAGAAGCUUGCUUCUCUGAUGUUAGCGGCGGACGGGUGAGUAACACGUGGAUAACCUACCUAUAAGACUGGGAUAACUUCGGGAAACCGGAGCUAAUACCGGAUAAUAUUUUGAACCGCAUGGUUCAAAAGUGAAAGACGGUCUUGCUGUCACUUAUAGAUGGAUCCGCGCUGCAUUAGCUAGUUGGUAAGGUAACGGCUUACCAAGGCAACGAUGCAUAGCCGACCUGAGAGGGUGAGGGGCCACAGGGGAGCUGAGCCCGGGCCGAAACCCCACGGGGGGGCGGCGGGAGGGAUUCUUCAGCAUGGGGGAAAGCCGUGCAGGGACAACGGCGCGUGAGUAAUAAAGGUCUCCGGAUCGUAAAAUUCGUUUUUUGGGAAAAAAAUUAUGUGAAAUAAACUUGGCACAUCUGAACGAACCAAAAUAGGAAGGCCCCGGCAAGCUACGUA